RNAcentral lists this ribosomal RNA (325 nucleotides) under uncultured bacterium. RNAcentral's name for it is "bacterial SSU rRNA". It matches the Rfam family "Bacterial small subunit ribosomal RNA", at positions 28 to 334 of the family's 1533-position model. The record is from RNAcentral.
GAUGAACGCUGGCGGCGUGCUUAACACAUGCAAGUCGAACGGAACACCCUUGAAGGAGUUUUCGGACAACAGAUAGGACUGUUUAGUGGCGGACGGGUGAGUAACGCGUGAGUAACCUGCCUUGGAGUGGGGAAUAACAGCUGGAAACAGCUGCUAAUACCGCAUAAUAUGUCUGAAUCGCAUGGUUCUGGACAUCAAAGAUUUAUCGCUCUGAGAUGGACUCGCGUCUGAUUAGCUGGUUGGCGGGGUAACGGCCCACCAAGGCGACGAUCAGUAGCCGGACUGAGAGGUUGGCCGGCCACAUUGGGACUGAGACACGGCCCAG